AUUAUGCAGAACUUGUUUGGUUGUUAUUACUUAUUCGCUUACUGUUGUCAAAUUUAAGGUGUUUUUUUUAUUUUGAUAUACAGUUUUCUUGUUAAUUUUAGUCCAAUCAACUCGGCCUACCACCGUUCCAUCUACAUCUGAAACAGUUGUUUCAUCAACAUCUACCACAUUCGGAAAGUUUAAAAGCUAUUUCUUUGUUCACUUUGUAUGUAAUAUGUGUAUGUAAGGCCAAUUUCUAAUACUUUUUUUCUUGGUUACACCUUUUUUUAAUCUAUAUCUGCCACAGUUACUAAGUUUAAAAGCUAUUACUUUUUAAUCUCUGUAAUAAUUUAAUGCCUAAAUCAAAUAUUUUUUGAUUGAUUACAUCCUUUUCACAAAUAGUAAGUUUAAAAACUAAAUA
Molecule: non-coding RNA, 400 nt
Organism: Hydra vulgaris (swiftwater hydra)
Lineage: Eukaryota; Metazoa; Cnidaria; Hydrozoa; Anthoathecata; Hydridae
Source: RefSeq, a predicted model, not a curated record